This 497-nucleotide ribosomal RNA is filed under the name uncultured Actinomycetes bacterium. RNAcentral describes it as "bacterial SSU rRNA". It matches the Rfam family "Bacterial small subunit ribosomal RNA", at positions 8 to 522 of the family's 1533-position model. The record is from RNAcentral. Lineage: Bacteria; Bacillati; Actinomycetota; Actinomycetes.
AGAGUUUGAUCAUGGCUCAGGACGAACGCUGGCGGCGUGCUUAACACAUGCAAGUCGAACGGAAAGGCCCUUCGGGGUGCUCGAGUGGCGAACGGGUGAGUAACACGUGGGUGAUCUGCCCUGCACUUUGGGAUAAGCCUGGGAAACUGGGUCUAAUACCGGAUAGGACUCCGAGAUGCAUGUCUUGGGGUGGAAAGCUUUUGCGGUGUGGGAUGGGCCCGCGGCCUAUCAGCUUGUUGGUGGGGUGAUGGCCUACCAAGGCGACGACGGGUAGCCGGCCUGAGAGGGUGUCCGGCCACACUGGGACUGAGAUACGGCCCAGACUCCUACGGGAGGCAGCAGUGGGGAAUAUUGCACAAUGGGCGCAAGCCUGAUGCAGCGACGCCGCGUGAGGGAUGACGGCCUUCGGGUUGUAAACCUCUUUCAGUACCGACGAAGCGUAAGUGACGGUAGGUACAGAAGAAGCACCGGCCAACUACGUGCCAGCAGCCGCGGUA